This 508-nucleotide long non-coding RNA is filed under the name Brassica rapa (field mustard). RNAcentral describes it as "long non-coding RNA (BRAP_LNC006307)". Lineage: Eukaryota; Viridiplantae; Streptophyta; Magnoliopsida; Brassicales; Brassicaceae. The record is from RNAcentral.
GGUAGAGAUUAAACUAUGAGUGAUUCACGAGAACAAAAUUCCUGAAAGCGCAUGAUAGCCUGAAGAACGUAGAAAAUGACACCCAAAAUAUCUAAAGAAUACUAAAACGCGCUUCCCUUGUGCCAUGUAGCUAGUAUUAACUUCUCUCUACGUCCACCCAGACCUGCCUGUUCACAGCACGACAAAGCCACUUACCUAUAAAAACACAACACCUUUCCCAUUGACGUUGUCUUUACACAAACACCGUUAUCUCUUCAAAACCAAUAAAAAGCCAACGUGUGCGCAAGACGUGUUGACGCCGUUAGUCCUUGUAACAAAUUAAAGCAGCCUUUAUAUUUCGUGCUAAUCUAUAUCACUACCAUCUAGACAUUAGUUUCUACUUUUAAUCAUCCCUCUCCAAGUUUCAACCAAUGGUUUUAAUGGGUCUUUGCCUCUUUGGGGUCAAAAGAGAAGAUUAAUUUUUCAACUACGUGUUUUACAAGUUACUGCUUAUGGUAAUGAUUUCGAU